AGGAAACACGGUCUGCUGCUCUCGAAAAUGCCGAGAGCUGCUCACUUGUACACAGGAAAAAAAUCAGCAUGUUGUUGUUAUGCAUUUGCUAGUGGAAGUGACCGGCGCGAAUGUGUGUGCAUUUAACGCCCGCUUUUACACAACGCGGCAUCAGAUAAGCACACGGCUGCACUGCACACAUGUGUGCCAUUUUCCUUCCAUUCCGCCGUGGCAGCGGCCUUCUUGCCCAAAACGCGGACAACCUUUUCUGGCUGCAGAUUUCGCCUUCAGCCGCUGCUGGCGCGUCGAAAGUAAAUUAUGCGCCUUGGAGAUAUGUAUUUCGCUCUUUCGCUCUCUUACGUUCAUUUUCCUCUCUCUUUUCUCCACUUGCUUACUAACACCAAGGUCAAAUCAAUUUUCAGCCCUCUCUUCUCACAAACUCGUUUUGCCACAUCAUGCCUUUUGCUUUGCUCAUGCCGUUUUCUUCGUUAUCUUUCUCUCUCUCUCACUUGCUCGCUCGCUCAACUCGCUCGUGUGUGUUGUCAUUGUUUUGCUCCGCUUUUAAUACAAACGUGUGCAUGCGCGCCUUUGAUAUUCGAGCCAGGCCACUUAAAUGUGCGCACUGACAAGCACAGCGAUUCGGAAAAGCGAAACGGAUGUAUUGCGCGGAUCCACGCUCAGCACGCCGCCGCUCAAUGUGACUGCAGAUGUUGUAAUGCGGCUCACAAUAAUCAGUCACCUCUAAUCUCUACAGAUUCAAUUUAAUCCUGAUCUAUUUCCCUUCUAAAUCAGAACUUCCUCUGCAUGGAAUAAGUUUGAUGUAAAUUAUGGUCUUCAAAUUUAGACUUUUAGCUAACAAAUUUGAAAUAUAAUUCAAGGUCAGAAAUAAGGAAGAAAAACACACGCAGGCCUCACCAGCUGUGCUUUGCCUCCAAAACAAGAUUCACAACUGCAGAGAAUUCUGAAUAAGCGAUAAUCGAAAAUGUCCGGCAUAAGUAACUCAUUGCUGAUGUGAGCAAGAUCGAAGAGAGAAGACGAGGGACGAAAUCUUGUCAGCUCGGUCACUCGCCCUCCCUACGAGAUAAAACCUUCCCUCACAAAAAAAUAAUAGCUAAAUAAAACUAACCAUUUCCUAAAUAAAUUUCCGCGCA
Long non-coding RNA from Cloeon dipterum, 1130 nucleotides. RefSeq lists it as uncharacterized. NCBI's taxonomy places the organism in Eukaryota, Metazoa, Arthropoda, Insecta, Ephemeroptera, Baetidae. The record is from RefSeq and is a predicted model, not a curated record. The transcript is spliced from 3 exons.